UGAGGCCUCCCCCUUCCCAAGUCCAUUCCCACUGUAGGCCGAUGCCUGUGCAAAGGACGCAGUGCCUUAUCAAAGAAGACCCUUGAAGAGGACUCACCCCAAGCAAGGGAACACUGGUGGGGGAACUUCUGCCUUCCUGGUUUCCUUGACUUUGGCCUCCUUCUCUUCCUCCUUAUCUUCUCCAACCUCCUUCCUUUAUUUGUUCCACAGACUGGACCGCAAAUCAUUACCUUGAACCACACAGACCUGGUUCCCUGCCUCUGUAUUCAGGUGUGGCCUCUGGAACCUGACUCCGUUAGGACGAACAUCUGCCCCUUCAGGGAGGACCCCCGCGCACACCGGAACCUCUGGCGAGCCGCCCGCCUGCGACUGCUGACCCUGCAGAGCUGGCUGCUGGACGCACCGUGCUCGCUGCCCGCAGAAGCGGCACUGUGCUGGCGGGCUCCGGGUGGGGACCCCUGCCAGCCACUGGUCCCACCGCUUUCCUGGGAGAAUGUCACUGUGGAUAAGGUUCUCGAGUUCCCAUUGCUGAAAGGCCACCCUAACCUCUGUGUUCAGGUGAACAGCUGGGAGAAGCUGCAGCUGCAGGAGUGCUUGUGGGCUGAGGGCAGCUCGCCUUGGAGAGUACUUACUACAAGACCUGCAGUCAGGCCAGUGUCUGCAGCUAUGGGAUGAUGACUUGGGAGCGCUAUGGGCCUGCCCCAUGGACAAAUACAUCCACAAGCGCUGGGCCCUCGUGUGGCUGGCCUGCCUACUCUUUGCCGCUGCGCUUUCCCUCAUCCUCCUUCUCAAAAAGGAUCAUGCGAA
RNAcentral lists this small RNA (807 nucleotides) under Pongo abelii (Sumatran orangutan). Its description in RNAcentral is "retained intron". The record is from RNAcentral. Lineage: Eukaryota; Metazoa; Chordata; Mammalia; Primates; Hominidae.